CCCCGCUCUCCACCCUCGUGUUCUUUCUCCCUCCCGCUCUCUUUCUCUCUUCUUCUCUCUCCUUUUCUCCUUUCUUCCAUUUUCAUCGGCCACUACCUCCAUCAUCGGUGGUCACCUUCACGAUAGGUGAUAUUGAGUUUCAUCGGAAGACAAGUGGCGGUCAGUGAAUCUCCUGUGACCAGAUCUAUGUUGGAUUCCAACGAAGAGAGAAAAAAUUGUGAAGAGAAAGAAAAUGGAUUUCUAAACUUUAAAUUUUCAUUUAUUGCAAUCCGGAUAUCCAAUCGAAGUGAUUCUAGUGGAUAUGGACUCUUAUUGAAGAGAUAUUUCAGAUGAGGCCAAUUUCACCAGAUUUGGUUCUUAUUUCUGGCGCAGUGAGGAGUACGGCCAUCUCGAACCCUAUGCACU
RNAcentral lists this long non-coding RNA (405 nucleotides) under Manihot esculenta (cassava). Its description in RNAcentral is "long non-coding RNA (MESC_LNC007364)". The record is from RNAcentral. Lineage: Eukaryota; Viridiplantae; Streptophyta; Magnoliopsida; Malpighiales; Euphorbiaceae.